AGGCUCUCAGAACACAGCAUAUGGUCAUGGCGCAACUUACUUAGCCUAGCAUCCACACCAUGCAAAGAUGAAAAGGCCAGGCACCAGAAUUAACUUUAUAUACAACGGUGUCUCAAACACAGGGAGCACUCAACUCUAGGCUAACCUAUUACAAUCUUUCCAAAAUUUAGGCUGCCGAGGAGUACAACAAAAGAAAGAUCCCCUGAGAACCCGCAAUCUACCAAUGGAUGCUAUGGGUAGG
RNAcentral lists this long non-coding RNA (241 nucleotides) under Setaria italica (foxtail millet). RNAcentral describes it as "long non-coding RNA (SITA_LNC004446)". Lineage: Eukaryota; Viridiplantae; Streptophyta; Magnoliopsida; Poales; Poaceae. The record is from RNAcentral.